This 74-nucleotide transfer RNA is filed under the name Sus scrofa (pig). It matches the Rfam family "tRNA". From Rfam's summary of the family: Transfer RNA (tRNA) molecules are approximately 80 nucleotides in length. Their secondary structure includes four short double-helical elements and three loops (D, anti-codon, and T loops). Lineage: Eukaryota; Metazoa; Chordata; Mammalia; Artiodactyla; Suidae. The record is from Rfam by way of RNAcentral.
UCCCUGGUGGCUCAGUGGGUUAAGGACAUGGCAUUGUUGCUGCUGUGGUGCAGGUUUGAUCCCUGGCCUGGGAA